GACGAACGCUGGCGGCGUGCCUAAUACAUGCAAGUAGAACGCUGAAGAGAGGAGCUUGCUCUUCUUGGAUGAGUUGCGAACGGGUGAGUAACGCGUAGGUAACCUGCCUUGUAGCGGGGGAUAACUAUUGGAAACGAUAGCUAAUACCGCAUAACAAUGGAUGACACAUGUCAUUUAUUUGAAAGGGGCAAUUGCUCCACUACAAGAUGGACCUGCGUUGUAUUAGCUAGUAGGUGAGGUAACGGCUCACCUAGGCGACGAUACAUAGCCGACCUGAGAGGGUGAUCGGCCACACUGGGACUGAGACACGGCCCAGACUCCUACGGGAGGCAGCAGUAGGGAAUCUUCGGCAAUGGGGGCAACCCUGACCGAGCAACGCCGCGUGAGUGAAGAAGGUUGUCGGAUCGUAAAGCUCUGUUGUAAGUCAAGAACGAGGGUGAGAGUGGAAAGUUCACACUGUGACGGUAGCUUACCAGAAAGGGACGGCUAACUACGUG
RNAcentral lists this ribosomal RNA (497 nucleotides) under uncultured bacterium. Its description in RNAcentral is "partial 16S ribosomal RNA". It matches the Rfam family "Bacterial small subunit ribosomal RNA", at positions 28 to 507 of the family's 1533-position model. The record is from RNAcentral.